RNAcentral lists this long non-coding RNA (305 nucleotides) under Mytilus galloprovincialis (Mediterranean mussel). Lineage: Eukaryota; Metazoa; Mollusca; Bivalvia; Mytilida; Mytilidae. The record is from RNAcentral.
GGGCAUACGAUACAGUUACAGGGGAGGUAAUGACGUUGCUAACGUAAAAUGUUAUUUUUGCGACGUAAACUAUGACAUAUCGGGAAAAGAUGCAUUUUUCGACUGAUUUUUAUCGUUCAAACUGAUUUAAUUUGAAAACGAGUGCAUGGACCCCUAUUUUUUAAAACGACAUUUUGUUUCAUUUUGCAGGGAGAUUAUGUGGACCAAAUUUUAUAAAACUGUAAAUAGUGCAUUUUUUUUUAAUUUUGAUAAAUAUACGGCACAAAAUUACGUUUUUUUUCUCAAUUCAUGAAAAUUUGAUAAAU